RNAcentral lists this ribosomal RNA (1003 nucleotides) under Mesobacillus selenatarsenatis. RNAcentral's name for it is "bacterial SSU rRNA". It matches the Rfam family "Bacterial small subunit ribosomal RNA", at positions 56 to 1040 of the family's 1533-position model. Lineage: Bacteria; Bacillati; Bacillota; Bacilli; Caryophanales; Bacillaceae. The record is from RNAcentral.
UGCAAGUCGAGCGGAUCUUCAUUAGCUUGCUUUUGAAGAUCAGCGGCGGACGGGUGAGUAACACGUGGGCAACCUGCCUGUAAGACUGGGAUAACUUCGGGAAACCGGAGCUAAUACCGGAUAAUCCUUUCCCUCACAUGAGGGAAAGCUGAAAGACGGUUUCGGCUGUCACUUACAGAUGGGCCCGCGGCGCAUUAGCUAGUUGGUGAGGUAACGGCUCACCAAGGCAACGAUGCGUAGCCGACCUGAGAGGGUGAUCGGCCACACUGGGACUGAGACACGGCCCAGACUCCUACGGGAGGCAGCAGUAGGGAAUCUUCCGCAAUGGACGAAAGUCUGACGGAGCAACGCCGCGUGAACGAUGAAGGCUUUCGGGUCGUAAAGUUCUGUUGUCAGGGAAGAACAAGUACCGGAGUAACUGCCGGUACCUUGACGGUACCUGACCAGAAAGCCACGGCUAACUACGUGCCAGCAGCCGCGGUAAUACGUAGGUGGCAAGCGUUGUCCGGAAUUAUUGGGCGUAAAGCGCGCGCAGGCGGUUCCUUAAGUCUGAUGUGAAAGCCCCCGGCUCAACCGGGGAGGGUCAUUGGAAACUGGGGAACUUGAGUGCAGAAGAGGAGAGCGGAAUUCCACGUGUAGCGGUGAAAUGCGUAGAGAUGUGGAGGAACACCAGUGGCGAAGGCGGCUCUCUGGUCUGUAACUGACGCUGAGGCGCGAAAGCGUGGGGAGCGAACAGGAUUAGAUACCCUGGUAGUCCACGCCGUAAACGAUGAGUGCUAAGUGUUAGAGGGUUUCCGCCCUUUAGUGCUGCAGCAAACGCAUUAAGCACUCCGCCUGGGGAGUACGGCCGCAAGGCUGAAACUCAAAGGAAUUGACGGGGGCCCGCACAAGCGGUGGAGCAUGUGGUUUAAUUCGAAGCAACGCGAAGAACCUUACCAGGUCUUGACAUCCUCUGACACCCUAGAGAUAGGGCGUUCCCCUUCGGGGGACAGAGUGACAGUGG